RNAcentral lists this ribosomal RNA (486 nucleotides) under uncultured bacterium. RNAcentral describes it as "partial 16S ribosomal RNA". It matches the Rfam family "Bacterial small subunit ribosomal RNA", at positions 899 to 1397 of the family's 1533-position model. The record is from RNAcentral.
ACUCAAAUGAAUAGACGGGGACCCGCACAAGCAGCGGAGCGUGUGGUUUAAUUCGAGGCUACGCGAAGAACCUUACCAGGGAUUGACAUGUGGGUAGUAGGGAAGCGAAAGCGGACCGAGCCUUCGGGCAGCCCACACAGGUGAUGCAUGGCUGUCGUCAGCUCGUGCCGUGAGGUGUUUGGUUAAGUCCACUAACGAGCGCAACCCUUAGGGCCAGUUACAAGUGUCUGGCCCGACUGCCGGUAUCAAGCCGGAGGAAGGUGGGGAUGACGUCAAGUCAGCAUGUCCUUUAUAUCCUGGGCUACACACACGCUACAAUGGCCGGUACAGUAGGUUGCGAAGCCGCGAGGCGGAGCCAAUCCCACAAAGCCGGUCUCAGUUCGGAUUGGAGGCUGCAACUCGCCUCCAUGAAGUCGGAGUUGCUAGUAAACGCAGGACAGCCAUACUGCGUUGAAUACGUUCCCGGGUCUUGUACACACCGCCCGU